Oreochromis aureus is the source of this 1405-nucleotide long non-coding RNA. The record is from Ensembl. NCBI's taxonomy places the organism in Eukaryota, Metazoa, Chordata, Actinopteri, Cichliformes, Cichlidae.
CACUCAGUGUUUCACUUUUAGAGUGUCUUAAUAUGAAAGCAGAAGCAGUGAUGUAGGUGCACUUCCUUUUGAGAAGUGUUCGCACAAGACCUACGCAAGACAUACGAGAGCUAAUACUUUGAGGUUUAUGAAGGACGCUGUUUGUCCUCCUUUCUUCAGUACGUCAUCUUCUGCACUAUCAGCAGCACUUACACUGCAAAUCGGACAUAUUGGUGAACAUGGAUGCAUUAAACCUGUGCUUAAUUCUGCUUCUACCACUAACUGCAUGCUCACAAGAUUUGGGAGGAGAUACUGUUGUGAAAACAAUUGGGAAGCAACCAGAUGUCACUCAAAUAUGCACCAAUGAAACACAGAAGAUCAUCACGCUAAUAGUUUGUACGAUCAGAACUCAGAGAAGUGGAGGAGAAAAUUGUAGUCUGCUGUAUGAAUAUACACGGGGCUUUGAACACAAAUGUGACUCCAGGUUCACACUGAUGAAAGAAAAUCAGACUGUGUUUCUCCACCUGAUCAAUUUAACAUCAGAGGACAGUGGGAGCUACACCUGUCAGUGUACAACUCCUGGAAGAACAAAAAUUCUCCAUCUUAAUGUCACUGUGGAAGAUAAACAAGAACUAAGCAGCAGGUCUGGAACAGAAACAGUUCCUCUUACACUGAUUUCUGUAACCGUGUUCAUCAUUGUGAGUUUAGUUAUCUUUGGAUUUAUUCACGCACGACUGCACCAGAGAAAACCAUCUCCUAGACCUCAAAACACGGGGUCAGAGGACAUUGAGCCGUACAGCACCUACAUACGGAGGGAAAGUGGUCUUUAUUCAACUGUUAAAAUGCACGACUCUAAACAGAAUACCAACAGUUCACAUGUGUCAGCAGACACAGUUGAGACAGUCUACGCAGGAGUACAAUAAUAUUAUAUCACAUUUUUCAACACUGACAAUUGUAGUUUGGCAAAUUCACCACAGGGUGGCAUCAUUUGCAAUAUGACUGACAAAUAAAGAACUGACCAGAAUCAGCGGAAAUAGUCAAAUAUUUCAUAUCUAAACACGAUUUCUUUUUAUCAUCUUAGCAUUUUAGUAUUGUGUUUUUAUGUAAAUAUUUUGUUACAAACUGCAGUAAAACUUUAUCCAUCAUUUGUUGUGUUUUUCUUUUUUUUAAUGCAGAAGAGAGAACUUUGUAAAUUCUGAGUUUUCAUAUGACUAAACUCAUAUAGUCAAGAAAAAUUCAACAAUUUCAGAUCCCUUUUGCUUUAUUCACUGUGACCGCUUUCAUGUAAGUUUGAGGAACUAGCAAGUCGGACGUCUUAAGAAUUCAUCUUGUUUUGAGAACUAAGAUGAUUAAAUGUAAUGACAGAUACAUAUCCUUCAGGAUAGUUAAUGUUCUGGUCUUUCUCAUUAGACUGAAUAAACCAGAU